UACGGGGGGAGCAAGCGUUGUUCGGAUUUACUGGGCGUAAAGGGCGCGUAGGCGGCCACCGCAAGUCGGUUGUGAAAUCUCUGGGCUUAACCCAGAAAGGUCAACCGAUACUGCGGGGCUAGAGUGCAGAAGGGGCAACUGGAAUUCUCGGUGUAGCGGUGAAAUGCGUAGAUAUCGAGAGGAACACCUGCGGCGAAGGCGGGUAGCUGGGCCGACACGUGACGCUGAGGCGCGAAAGCCAGGGGAGCGAACGGG
Molecule: ribosomal RNA, 255 nt
Filed under: uncultured bacterium
Lineage: Bacteria
Description: partial 16S ribosomal RNA
Rfam family: Bacterial small subunit ribosomal RNA
Source: RNAcentral